This 465-nucleotide ribosomal RNA is filed under the name uncultured bacterium. RNAcentral's name for it is "partial 16S ribosomal RNA". It matches the Rfam family "Bacterial small subunit ribosomal RNA", at positions 28 to 507 of the family's 1533-position model. The record is from RNAcentral.
GGUGAACGCUGGCGGCGUGCUUAACACAUGCAAGUCGAACGGAAAGGCUCCUGCUUGCAGGGGUACUCGAGUGGCGAACGGGUGAGUAACACGUGGGUGAUCUGCCCUGCACUUCGGGAUAAGCCUGGGAAACUGGGUCUAAUACCGGAUAGGACGAUGGUUUGGAUGCCAUUGUGGAAAGUUUUUCGGUGUGGGAUGAGCUCGCGGCCUAUCAGCUUGUUGGUGGGGUAAUGGCCUACCAAGGCGUCGACGGGUAGCCGGCCUGAGAGGGUGUACGGCCACAUUGGGACUGAGAUACGGCCCAGACUCCUACGGGAGGCAGCAGUGGGGAAUAUUGCACAAUGGGCGCAAGCCUGAUGCAGCGACGCCGCGUGGGGGAUGACGGCCUUCGGGUUGUAAACUCCUUUAGCUAGGGACGAAGCGCAAGUGACGGUACCUGGAGAAGAAGCACCGGCUAACUACGUG